Molecule: ribosomal RNA, 253 nt
Filed under: uncultured bacterium
Lineage: Bacteria
Description: partial 16S ribosomal RNA
Rfam family: Bacterial small subunit ribosomal RNA
Source: RNAcentral
GACAGAGGGUGCAAACGUUGUUCGGAAUUACUGGGCGUAAAGCGUGCGUAGGUGGUUUGUUAAGUCUGCUGUGAAAGCCCCGGGCUCAACCUGGGAAUGGCAGUGGAUACUGGCAAGCUAGAGUGCGGUAGAGGGGUGUGGAAUUCCCGGUGUAGCGGUGAAAUGCGUAGAGAUCGGGAGGAACACCAGUGGCGAAGGCGGCACCCUGGACCAGCACUGACACUGAGGCACGAAAGCGUGGGGAGCAAACAGG